RNAcentral lists this ribosomal RNA (499 nucleotides) under uncultured bacterium. RNAcentral's name for it is "partial 16S ribosomal RNA". It matches the Rfam family "Bacterial small subunit ribosomal RNA", at positions 899 to 1397 of the family's 1533-position model. The record is from RNAcentral.
ACUCAAAUGAAUUGACGGGGGCCCGCACAAGCGGUGGAGCAUGUGGUUUAAUUCGACGCAACGCGAAGAACCUUACCUACCCUUGACAUCCUCGGAAUUUGAUAGAGAUAUUGAAGUGCCGAAAGGAACCGAGAGACAGGUGCUGCAUGGCUGUCGUCAGCUCGUGUCGUGAGAUGUUGGGUUAAGUCCCGUAACGAGCGCAACCCCUAUCCUUAGUUGCCAACAGGUAGAGCUGGGAACUCUAAGGAGACUGCCGGCGAUAAGCCGGAGGAAGGUGGGGAUGACGUCAAGUCCUCAUGGCCCUCACGGGUAGGGCUACACACGUGCUACAAUGGGCAGUACAGAGGGAAGCGAAGCCGUGAGGUGAAGCGAAUCUCAGAAAGCUGCUCGUAGUCCGGAUUGGAGUCUGCAACUCGACUCCAUGAAGUUGGAAUCGCUAGUAAUCGUGGAUCAGAACGCCACGGUGAAUACGUUCCCGGGCCUUGUACACACCGCCCGU